UACGUAGGGUGCGAGCGUUAAUCGGAAUUACUGGGCGUAAAGCGUGCGCAGGCGGCGCGUUAAGACAGGUGUGAAAGCCCCGAGCUUAACUUGGGAAUUGCGCUUGUGACUGGCGAGCUGGAGUGUGGCAGAGGGAGGUGGAAUUCCACGUGUAGCAGUGAAAUGCGUAGAUAUCUGGAGGAACACCGGUGGCGAAGGCGGCAUCCUGGACCGGUAUUGACGCUGAGGCGCGAAAGCCAGGGGAGCAAACGGG
RNAcentral lists this ribosomal RNA (253 nucleotides) under uncultured bacterium. RNAcentral describes it as "partial 16S ribosomal RNA". It matches the Rfam family "Bacterial small subunit ribosomal RNA", at positions 524 to 776 of the family's 1533-position model. The record is from RNAcentral.